Nicotiana tabacum (common tobacco) is the source of this 1192-nucleotide non-coding RNA. The record is from RefSeq and is a predicted model, not a curated record. Lineage: Eukaryota; Viridiplantae; Streptophyta; Magnoliopsida; Solanales; Solanaceae.
AAUCCCAAUUCCUGCUUCUACACUUACUUAGCAGUUAGCAUUUUAAAAGUGAUACUCCCUCCGCGCGAAUAACAAAUAAACCCUCAAAAUACACAAACCUCUUCAGAUGCACAGCCGUGUCUUCACACCGAUUCUUUACUAUCUAUUUUCUUCUAGUUUCUCUGUACUCCUCCAUCUCUUUCACUUUCUCGUACUCCUCCGUCUCUUCCGCUUUCUUUGUACUUCUCCAUAUCUUUAAGACCUCUCUUCCUUCUUAUUUUUACACCCAUGACCUGUUUGAAAAAAUGCUAUACAUGGCACCCGGAAUCAACAAUGUCGGCACAUGAUGUCUAAGCAGGGGUUGAAUCCGUUGUUCCCAAUGGAGGAUAUUGAAGUAAUGGGCAUUUGAAAUGGCAGGCUCAAACAAACUACAGAAGUUGUUUUCUCUUUCAAGCCUCAUGACUUUAAAGGAUUCUCCUUCCGUUUCUUAAAGCAUUUGCAGGGUGAUGAUAUGCACCUUUUAUGAGUUUGAAAUAGAUUUUUACUUUUUCCUUGUGCAGGGAGAAAAUAAGGUAUAGAAACAAAGGGAAAUCCUUUUUCCUGCAAGAUUCAUUCAACAAGAUGAUGUGGGUCGAUGUGGAUUAACAAAUGGCGCUUGAGUCCGAGUUCUUUACAGUGUGCAUUAUUCACUUGUAUCAAAGCUUUUCAGUAUGGUUUCCAUAUUUUGAUCAACUUGAAAAUUCAUAUCAGAAGAGUAUGAUAGUAAUAAGCGACAGAGACUGCAAAAAAUAUAGAAAGUUGUCCUCAACUUUUAGUUAGAGGAUGGAGAUGAACUUCCUAAGUUGGACAUUCAAUUGAGCCUCUUUACAAGCUAAAUCUUUAGCGACAGAAUCUUGAGGGAAGACAACCUCUUCAAGAAAUGGUUCUGUUCUUGGAAUUUUUCAUGAAAAUAUCUUUUUGUCUAGGAAUAGAAAGAGUAGGAGAUGAGUAAGAGGACUAAGAGAUUUGGAGACUCCUUAAGAAUAGUCAGAUUUGACAUAGAUGAUGAAGACUUCAGUAAGAGCCGGAGAUACCUCAAAAUGAAAUGUUGAACUCUUCAGCGAUCACAUAAGAGACGCAAUGACUGUUACUCUUUUUUGCAGUAACCUACUUCCAUUGUUUCGUUGCUGAAAUAGUCUAAAGUUUUGAACUUUAGAUUUAUUUCUUUUAUGAG